Molecule: ribosomal RNA, 496 nt
Filed under: uncultured Pseudomonas sp.
Lineage: Bacteria; Pseudomonadati; Pseudomonadota; Gammaproteobacteria; Pseudomonadales; Pseudomonadaceae
Description: bacterial SSU rRNA
Rfam family: Bacterial small subunit ribosomal RNA
Source: RNAcentral
GCCCGCUCAGAAACUUAAAGGAAGUUGACGGGGACCCGCACAAGCAGCGGAGCAUGUGGUUUAAUUCGAAGCAACGCGAAGAACCUACCAGGCCUUGACAUGCAGAGAACUUUCCAGAGAUGGAUUGGUGCCUUCGGGAACUCUGACACAGGUGCUGCAUGGCUGUCGUCAGCUCGUGUCGUGAGAUGUUGGGUUAAGUCCCGUAACGAGCGCAACCCUUGUCCUUAGUUACCAGCACGUUAUGGUGGGCACUCUAAGGAGACUGCCGGUGACAAACCGGAGGAAGGUGGGGAUGACGUCAAGUCAUCAUGGCCCUUGCGGCCUGGGCUACACACGUGCUACAAUGGUCGGUACAAAGGGUUGCCAAGCCGCGAGGUGGAGCUAAUCCCAUAAAACCGAUCGUAGUCCGGAUCGCAGUCUGCAACUCGACUGCGUGAAGUCGGAAUCGCUAGUAAUCGUGAAUCAGAAUGUCACGGUGAAUACGUUCCCGGGCCUU